GACGAACGCUGGCGGCGUGCUUAACACAUGCAAGUCGAACGGAAAGGCCCUGCCUUUGUGGGGUGCUCGAGUGGCGAACGGGUGAGUAACACGUGAGUAACCUGCCCUUGACUUUGGGAUAACUUCAGGAAACUGGGGCUAAUACCGGAUAGGAGCUCCUGCUGCAUGGUGGGGGUUGGAAAGUUUCGGCGGUUGGGGAUGGACUCGCGGCUUAUCAGCUUGUUGGUGGGGUAGUGGCUUACCAAGGCUUUGACGGGUAGCCGGCCUGAGAGGGUGACCGGCCACAUUGAGACUGAGAUACGGCCCAGACUCCUACGGGAGGCAGCAGUGGGGAAUAUUGCACAAUGGGCGGAAGCCUGAUGCAGCAACGCCGCGUGCGGGAUGACGGCCUUCGGGUUGUAAACCGCUUUCGCCUGUGACGAAGCGUGAGUGACGGUAAUGGGUAAAGAAGCACCGGCUAACUACGUG
This 468-nucleotide ribosomal RNA is filed under the name uncultured bacterium. RNAcentral describes it as "partial 16S ribosomal RNA". It matches the Rfam family "Bacterial small subunit ribosomal RNA", at positions 28 to 507 of the family's 1533-position model. The record is from RNAcentral.